GGGGAUAUAGCUCAGCAGCACAGUGUCUGCCUGGCAAGCAAGAGGUCAUGAGUUUGAUUCCCAGUAACCCCC
Molecule: transfer RNA, 72 nt
Filed under: Cavia porcellus (domestic guinea pig)
Lineage: Eukaryota; Metazoa; Chordata; Mammalia; Rodentia; Caviidae
Rfam family: tRNA
About the family: Transfer RNA (tRNA) molecules are approximately 80 nucleotides in length.
Source: Rfam by way of RNAcentral